GGCAUCAAGUUCUUGAAUCAAUGAAAGUUGGAUGCUUUUGUUGAACUAAAGAAAGGUGCUUUGGCUGUGAAUCUCAAUAGGGUUAUAAAGGUUUGAUUUUUUUGAUCUGUUUGAGUGGUUUUGUGGGAUUUUCAUUUUUACUGUACUUGUAUGAUUGAACCCUUCUUGGAGAACCAUCUUUUUCCUCUUUUGAGUGAGAGUUGUUU
This 206-nucleotide unclassified non-coding RNA is filed under the name Hevea brasiliensis (rubber tree). The record is from RNAcentral. Lineage: Eukaryota; Viridiplantae; Streptophyta; Magnoliopsida; Malpighiales; Euphorbiaceae.